Lupinus angustifolius (narrow-leaved blue lupine) is the source of this 98-nucleotide non-coding RNA. The record is from Rfam. NCBI's taxonomy places the organism in Eukaryota, Viridiplantae, Streptophyta, Magnoliopsida, Fabales, Fabaceae.
CCGGCAGUGAUGAGUCCCUAACAUGUUAGAAGUAUCCCUAGUUGUGUACUUGGGUUUCUUCAAUGAAAUUUACUUGUUACGCUUGGCUUCUGAGCUUC